AGUGAACGCUGGCGGCAGGCCUAAUACAUGCAAGUCGAACGGCAGCACAGUGGAGCUUGCUCCAUGGGUGGCGAGUGGCGGACGGGUGAGGAAUACAUGGGAAUCUGCCCAGUCGUGGGGGAUAACGUAUGGAAACGUACGCUAAUACCGCAUGCGCCCUUCGGGGGAAAGUCGGGGACCGCAAGGCCUGACGCGAUUGGAUGAGCCCAUGUUCGAUUAGCUAGUUGGCGGGGUAACGGCCCACCAAGGCGACGAUCGAUAGCUGGUCUGAGAGGAUGAUCAGCCACACUGGAACUGAGACACGGUCCAGACUCCUACGGGAGGCAGCAGUAGGGAAUAUUGGACAAUGGGCGCAAGCCUGAUCCAGCCAUGCCGCGUGAGUGAAGAAGGCCCUCGGGUUGUAAAGCUCUUUGUUGGGAAGAAAGCAGUUGGUUAAUACCCG
Molecule: ribosomal RNA, 442 nt
Filed under: uncultured bacterium
Lineage: Bacteria
Description: bacterial SSU rRNA
Rfam family: Bacterial small subunit ribosomal RNA
Source: RNAcentral